GUGCUCACUUCAGCAGCCCAUGUACUAAAAUCAGAAUGAUACAAAGAAAAUUAACAUGGCCGCUGUGCAAGGAUAACACACAAAUUCAUGAAGUGUUUCAUAAAAAA
RNAcentral lists this small nuclear RNA (107 nucleotides) under Microcebus murinus (gray mouse lemur). Lineage: Eukaryota; Metazoa; Chordata; Mammalia; Primates; Cheirogaleidae. The record is from RNAcentral.